AGGACGAACGCUGGCGGCGUGCUUAACACAUGCAAGUCGAGCGGAAAGGCCCUUCGGGGUACUCGAGCGGCGAACGGGUGAGUAACACGUGAGCAACCUGCCCCUGGCUCUGGGAUAGCCUCCGGAAACGGGGAUUAAUACCGGACAUGACCUGGGACUGCAUGGUUCUGGGUGGAAAGUUUUUCGGCCAGGGUGGGGCUCGCGGCCUAUCAGCUUGUUGGGGGGGUGACGGCCCACCAAGGCGACGACGGGUAGCCGGCCUGAGAGGGCGACCGGCCACACUGGGACUGAGACACGGCCCAGACUCCUACGGGAGGCAGCAGUGGGGAAUAUUGCGCAAUGGGGCGGAAGCCUGACGCAGCGACGCCGCGUGCGGGAUGAAGGCCUUCGGGUUGUAAACCGCUUUCACCGCAGACGAAGCGAGAGUGACGGUAUGCGGGGAAGAAGCGCCGGCUAACUACGCGCCAGCAGCCGC
RNAcentral lists this ribosomal RNA (475 nucleotides) under uncultured bacterium. RNAcentral describes it as "SSU rRNA". It matches the Rfam family "Bacterial small subunit ribosomal RNA", at positions 26 to 518 of the family's 1533-position model. The record is from RNAcentral.